GUAUGCCACAUUAUUUUAGAUUACAUGUUUUUCGUGCCUUUGGUAAACAGCUCUUUGGAAGUCAAUGAUGACAUUUGUUGGAUUGUGAUGUCCCUCAUUCAGUCACUGCCUGUACAGAAAUUAAACAAAUGGUGCUUAUUGGAGAAAUAGUAGACAAUGAAAAGUUAAUGCAAAGUUAAUGCAGCAAGCAUGGUAGAUAUGCAAAUCAGAAGUAAGCUAUUGAAAGCUGUGGUUGUGAACUGACUGUCAUUCCUGAGGGGAUGGUUUGUUUCGUUUGAUGAUCAAGAACAACAAGCAGGCUCAGCAUGUGAGAGGAAUGUUUAGAAAGAGUGAGAAAUGGGCCAGAAUCCUCGGGGACUACUUUCAUCUGCAUCAUCAUCUGGAAAAUAUGUGGCUCUGUGGAUGCGGGUUCCCAGGAGGAAUAUCUUGCUGAAGCAACAAACACUGGAGAUAAUAUUCGCUCCCCCCACAGAGUCCUUAAGGAGAGGAACACUCCAGGUAAGAGAUCUCUUGCUGUUCCUGUAAAUUAGUGCUGUAGCAUUCUUCUGUAGAAUAUGAUCACGUGGUAUACGCUAAACCUCUUUAUGAUUGAACAAAAUUGCCUCUGCUUCACAAAUAAAUACCUUCUCAUUUUCAGUUUCAUCCGUUCAUUUAAUAUUUGUUGUUUUUCCCACCUCCACCACAGCCUCCAGGGUGGCCCUGGUUGAGCCAACCUGUCAGCAAAGGGUUUAACGCCUUGUUUGUGUGUCAGUGGCCUGACCGGGUAGAGCUCACACAUGUUACUGUGACUUCACCCUAUUUAAUUACCUUAGAAUACCCUCACCUCACUGUCAGCAGAACCUCUGGUCUUAUCUGUUACAUUGCUUGGUACUGUCUAUUACUGAUAGACAUGUCUAUAUCUAUGUGUCAUCAGAAUGGACUGCUGUUAACUUGUAUGUGCUAGGGUGGUUUUGUUUAGUUUUUUUAAGACUUUGUUGUCCAGGCGUGGUGGAGAGAAUUUGCGACUAUUUUGGAACAGCAGCUCCUACCCAGUGUCCUGCAAACUGAAACUGUAAACAACAAAACACUCUAUUUACUGAUGCAAUGAGUGUCGUUUAUUGAGAGCCACACAAUCAGAAAAACGUCCAAACCUUUUGGUUAUCAGAGACAUAGUACAUUAGGAAUUUAUAUUAUCUGUACUAUUUCUGUGCCCCAGGACAGAUCACUCAAACUUUUUUUCCCCUGAAGCGAGAGCAGUUUCACAUAAAUUAUAGUUGCUUACAGCCAUGAUCAACGUAAUCACUGUCCAUACAGCAGUUCCAGAUUCAUAAGGUCAUUAUCACUAGUCACUCACAUUGAAAGACCCUUAAAUAUAUCUAUAUUUACCAGAUUAAAACCUAUAAUUCAUGGUUAAAUUGUGUGUUGAGCAUGGAUACAGGUAGUGUUAUUAACAUUGAAUAACCACAAGGAGUCAGUAUUUCAUAGGAAAUAGAUUGAUAAAGAAGAUAAUUACUUGAAAUUUUAUUUUGGUUAUGGGUUUUUUUUAUAUCUUUUUUAUAUCUAUAUUUUAUAUCUAUCUUGUAUCAAAGUUCACUUGUGAUCACUCAUCUAUGCAUUAGAUAUUUUCUGUGUCAAAAAUUUGAUUUAAGUAAAAUUAAAUGAGGACAGUUAAGAUCAUCCUUUAAAAAAAUAUAAAAGAUAUGAUUCCUUAAGUCUUUACGUGGGUAUGUACCCACACAGCGGCCCAUGCAUGCUCACACGCCCACAGGAUGAACAAACAAGCACGCUAUCACACACCUUUGUUUCACUUAUCACCUUGUCUUUGAUCUACAGUCUAAACAGAACAGAAAACCAGCUUGACAAGUUGAUAAUGGUUCUCUGGAAAUAGCAUGAAAUUCGGUUUCCACUGAAGAUUCUAUUGCUUCAUACCACGACUCUGCCCUGAUACACACACUACUAUUUAACUGUGGCUUGGUCUUGCUUAUUUCUCAUAAUAAUACAAUUAUUAAUCACUAGUCCCUCAGAAUCACCCGCUAAUUAAUUAUCUACCAUCUACAUUGCUUUGAAAGAAGAAAGACUAAACGUCCCAAAAUAGUUUAACUAGUUCAAGGAAGUAAGAUUAAAGUUAUUUUAUCAAAAUGUAAAAACUGACCAGUCCCAAAAUAAAUGUAACAGUUUAGAAAUGUGAUUGAAUGUUCAUGUUAGUUUUUUGGCUUUCCACUUGGAUUAGAGUUGCUGUCUCAAGUUUUUCCAUUACACAGGAAGUUUUAGUACUGUAAGAAGUACUUUCACUAGGCAUGCAGAUUGAAGCCAGCGUACUGAACUUGACAAUCAGGUCUGGUUUUAAGUCUAGGUCAAAAGCCAUUUCAGGGAUGGAGAUAGCAUCAAGGUCAAAGCCGGCCCCUGUGUCUCCCUCGUCAGCAUACACAUGAGGAGCAUAAUCACCCAGCUCCUCUCCUGGUGCCUGGAGAUUGGUCACUCUCUACAGUAUACAGGGAAACAAAAAAGAAAAGGUUAAUCUUUUUUUAAAGAAAAAAAAAACUCUAGCUUUGUUUGAUUGAUUAAAUCCUUGUCAUUACCUGUUUUAGUACUUUGAUCAGAGUUUCACAUCGGCCUACAUCAACCUGCUGUUGUGCAGAAUAUGUACUGUGUCUCACAGCUCUCUGGGAAAUCAAAAGCAGAUAGAUGUAUCAUUUCAGGAUAUAAUUUUUUUUUUAUAAAUUUGAAGACAAGGGCUAUAGUAGUGUAGAUUAUAGUACCAUAUAGUUUCUGUGCUGAUGUCCCAUUCUCAUUGCUGAUGAUGCGCCCAUUGACUGCAAUAUCCAGUGGUUAAUUUAGUACAAUAUGCUGGGAUGUAGUGAACUUCCAUAAUAAUAAUAAUAAUAAUAACAAUAGUAAUAUUAAUUAUGAUAUUAAUCAUAAUUUCAGUACCGAACGCAUAGAGCUGUUGCGUGUAAACUCAUGUUCCCUGUAGCUUCUUCUUUGUUCCCAGUUGGAGUCAGUUAUCAACUGCAAGAGGGAAAAAAAACAUGUCCAGCCAUGACACCUAAUUUUAUAAAUAAUGUGUCCAUUUGUCACUGUGAGAAAAAUUUGAAAGGAUAAGGCUAGUAUUAGAUUCUUUUUUUUUCUGGUUGUCAUCAAAUCUUAUGAAAACCAACAGUGUGUUACUCUGUCUUUUCCACUUUUUCAGCCAAUCUGUGACUUUAAGUUCCUGCUGAUAAUGUAAAUAGUGUUUUUAAUUCCUAGAUCAACUGGGUACUGUAGUUUUACUUGAAGACUUGGUGCACUAGCAAUUAUUUAGCAGUAGGAUGGUGCACAUGGACAAGCUUUACCCGGCUUUUGCUACACAGACAGCAGUAUCAAUUCAUUCAUUCAUUUUGGUCUUUUAAUUAGAUUAAUUGACAAUAAAAGAAUCUAGAAUAUCACAAGACUCAUUUUAAUAUAGAAUACGGUUCCAUUUCUGACCCAAAAAAAUAAAUUUCUUUACCCCAUACAAACUGUUAAUUUCCUUGAGUUUAGUUUGGUAUGCGGCGUUCUCUGAAAGUCGCCCUCCUGCAGUUGUUUUCCUAAUGUCUGACUGCAAAAAAAGCCAAAUCAAGUCAAGUCAUGACCACAUAAGUACUUGAAAAAAAAAAAAUACAUAGCACAUUAAGAAAAGUAUGCUUCAUGAGUUUGUAAUUAAAUGAACGUAUAUUUUUUUUUAUCACUUACUCGCUUUAGAGGAUAAGACUAAUAUGAAUUUUUUUCUUUUCUGGUUGUCAUCAAAUCUUAUGAAAACACCAAAACCAACAGUGUGUUACUCUGUCUUUUCCACUUUUCAGCCAAUCUGUGACUUUAAGUUCCUACUGAUAAUGUAAAUAGUGUUAAUAUAUAUAUAUAUAUAUUGGGUUUUUUUUGUAAUUAUUAGAUCAACUUGGUACUGUAGUUUUACUUGAAGACUUGAUGCACUAGCAAGUAUUUAGCAGUAGGAUGGUGCACUUGGAAAACCUUUAUCAGGCUUUUGCUACACAGACAGCAGUAUCAAUUCAUUGCCGGUUUUGGUCUAUUAAGUAGAUUAAUUGACAAUAAAAGAAUCUAGAAUAUCACAAGACUAAUUUUAAUAUAGAAUAUUUAUAUUUAUUUCUGACCAAAAAAAGAUAUUUCUUUACCCCAUGCAAGCUGUUAAUUUCCUUAAAUUUAGUUUGGUAUGUGGCGUUCUCUGAAAGUCGCCCUCCCGCAGUUGUUUUCCUAAUGUCUGACUGCAAAAAAGGCCAAAUCAAGUCAAGUCAUGACCACACAUAAGUACUACAUACAUAGCACAUUAAGAAAAGUAUGCUUCAUAAGCUUGUUAUUAAAUGAACGUUUUUUUUUAUCACUUACUCGCUUUAUCGUUGCUGUUGGAACUUUCUGUCCAUGGUUUAAUGCCUCAAAAUUCACCUGUUGAAAUUUUUGUUUUUUUACAACAAGUUACCUCCAGGUAUCAGUGCACUUAAAAUUAAUUUAAAUUAAUAAAAUUAAAUGAAAUUGUAUAAGCCUACAGUAAUAAUGAAAUAUAGUUUAUUUUAAUAAUAAUAAAAGUAUUUACUUUGCAGUCAGUUCCCGGUUCCUCAGUGUUACCGACUAUCAGACUUUGUCCUGUACCUUCAUUUGGCAAUGGUCUGAUAUUGGUCAUUUUACAUGACACCAGAAAAGCAGCAAGUAGUGCCCCUGGGAUACAAAGAUCACACACACACACACACACACACACACACACACACACACACACACACACAGAUCAGAUCAUACAGUGUUAAAUGAGGCUUUUAAUCUCCUGGGGAUGGGCUCAUGACCAAAAUAUAAUAUUCUGUUGUUUAAUAUCAGUUUAAUUUAAUUUAGUUAAAAUGAAAAUGUGUUUUUGUAAUAUAUAAUAAUAAUAAUAAUACAUUUAUUUGUAAAGCGCUUUCAGGUCAAAGUGCCGUACAGAGCAUAGGAAAUACAGUUUAAAAACAUUUCAAAUAACUAAAACAAAAAUAAACACACACUCGGACUCUCAGGCAAACAUACAGAGAAAUAGGCCUCAUACACAACAGUAAACAAAUGGGUCUUUAGCUUUGCUUUAAAAACCUCAAAAGAACAUGCCUGCCUGAUGUCCAGAGGUAAACUGUUCCACAAUGUCGGUGCACAGAAAGAAAAAGCCUGUUCACCAAUUGUCUUCUUUUAUGUUUAAAAUAAAGUCGUAUUAACAAUGAUUCAAGUAUUUUGGAUAUGCAUCCUACCUGCAAGCAGUAGUAUACUGAAAAAAAUGAUCCCGAGUGCUCCUCCUCCUGCUGCAGAGCCAGUAGCUUUGCGGGACCGACAGUCUGGCCUCGCUGUGUUUAAGCAGUGACACACUGUAACUGACAGGUUGUGGACAGUGGUCUGGUGCUGAAGGUCAGACACUUCCAGUAACAGCUCAAAGUGUCCAGAAUGAACUACGUUCUCUUUCACCAGGUUCACUGAAUCACCUGUACAUAAAAAAAUAAUAUUAUUAAUAUUAUAAUAAUAUAUAAUAAUAUUAGUCAUAUUAAAGACAAAUUGUUUUUAAACUUAGAGGGUGAUUUACAGGGCAUUAUUUGCACGAGUUUUAUGGUCGAACCCCAAAGGAGUUGUGAGAAUUAGAGGUCACCUUGAGGAGGGUCAACCCUCCACUUGCCCUCAACAUCUCCAAGGAGCUUAAAGUGAAAAGGUCCACCAUAGGGUUCUUCAUCCAAAUCCAAGGCUGUGAUGUUGGCAAGAGAGGGCCCAUCAGAUUGGCACAUGGCAAUUGUGCUUUGAGACAGGGUAGGAGUAUUGUCAUUCUCAUCGGCAAUAUGGAUGCUGAGGGUUGCAGUACUUGUCAUUGGAGGUUUACCUGGUCACCAAAAACACAUGUUCCAUUUUCAGUAAUGUGAUAAAGAAACUGUGAUUGAUAAAAUAUACAGAAUGUAAAAACAACUGCAGUUCAUACCAUUGUCAACAGCAUAUAUUGUGACGUUAUAGAUAUUGUUUUUCACAAAGGGUGACUCUCGGUCUACGAUCUUCGAUGUGGUUAUUUUUCCAGUCUUAGGGUCUACUGUGACCCAGUCAGCUGGAUCGUUUCCUUUGAUGUAGCUGAAACACACAUACACAAUGUGUUACAUAUAAGUUCUCUAUUGAUCUACUAAUGUAGAAUGUUGUUGUAUCUUCAUGACUUACACAAAUGUGUUUGCACUUGCGAUGUCAGGGUCUUUAGCUGUAAAUGUCACCAGAUAUUGUCCUGGUGCAACAUUCUCACUCAGCUUAACAUGUUGGUUAGGUUUGUCGAAGAUUGGAGGGUCAUUGACAUCCACCACAGUCACUGUCACUUGACGGAUGGACAGACUUAAUGUUGCACCAGUUGCACCAGUUGCACUGCCAAUAGUGACACCAUCAGUAAUGACCCAAAGACCAGUGGAUGUGCGCUUCACCACUUUACAUGAGUGAUAAGGGAUUUCAUUCUCUACACUGAUAGUCAAGUUCUUCAGAGGAGUGUCUUCAUAGUUCAGAGGCUGUAGAAAAGGUAAAAAAGAGUUUCAUCGAAGGGCUUUUUUAAGAGCCAUAAAGUUCAUCAUACACAGGUUGUCAGUCUUUCUACAGUGCAGAACUAAAAAACUGAAAUUGUAUGAAUAACCACAUUUGAGAAUAUCCAAGUCUCAUUCUCUUUAGCAUUUGUGGUCUCUUAGAAAAGGCCAAAAUAUUUAACAUAAAAACUAGUUUUGAAGAAUAUAGGCUUGUUUUGUUUAAAUUGUCGCAUAAACGUAAAUGUACUACAGUGGAGCAUAAUUGUUUUGGAUUAAGCCUUUAUACCUCUCUGUCUGAUUCUUCAAACUGGUACCUGAACAGGAUGCAUAUAUUAUUAAUACAGCAUGAUAUCUAAAGGUUAGACAUUAGGUAAGGGCAGACAUUAGACCUAGAUGGGCGCCGGCGACAACGGCAGCCUGUUAUGGCAGCUCCUAUUACUGUUGUAGUUUUAGUGUGUUUUUAGCCUGUGUUUUUUGCUAUUUUUAACUGUUUUCUUACUUUCUUACUUUCUUACUAGUUUGUUCACGUCGCCUAAAUACCUUUUUGCCGUUUUUGAGCAUUUUUUAUUUUUUGUUUGCACGGGUCUCCAUGGCGACGGCGAGUCGCAUUGUUUACACCCAUGACCAGAUGAUCGCCCUGAGGUACCAUCCUGACUGGAGAGAGAGCCUCCAUACCGGAGGAGCUGAGGAGACGGCGAGGCUGCAGAAUGGGGGUUAAACGGAGGAUGAAGAAGAGGAGGUUUAAACCCUACACACGUGGCUACACGAGCAGAUACCGGACUCCAACGUCACCAUGCCCGGCUUCCAGACGGUUCGAGCUGACAGGGACACCACCGCGACCGGCAUGAAGAAAGGAGGGGGACUUGCCGUGCUCAUAAACAACAGGUGGUGUAACCCCGGGCACGUCUGUGUGAAAGAGCGUCUGCAGCCCGGACAUCGAGCUUGUCGCCGACGGACUUCGUCCAUGUUAUUUGCCACGGGAACUUUCCAGCAUUAUCGCCGUCACUGUUUAUAUUCCUAACAGUGGUCUUCAUCAUCACCAUCACUGUUUACAUUUAUGAUGUCUUAUUUAUUCUCCUGUACAGCACUUUGGUCAACUUUGGAUGUUUUUAAAGUGCUUAACAAAUAAAGUUGGAUUGGAUUGGAUCUGUGGGUAAAACAGCAUACUCAGGAAUUUAAGUCUGUGGUAAAGUGUGGUAAAAGGUUCUGUAUCUUAAACCAUAAUGCUUGUUGUAUUGGUUUAAUUUUUUGUCUACAGUAAAUGGUUUUUGAAGAUACCAAAACAAUUUUUUUUUACCAAAUAAUUAUUAGACUGUAGUGUGAAAAGAUCAAUGUAUGUAAGAUAAAAUACCUUUUCCACAUAUAGUAGUCCCUCAUUUGUCUCAUUAUCAGUUGUGAUUCUAAAGUUGUUGUUUUUGUCUCCUUGGAUCUUAUAUACCGCUCUCCAGGCCGCUGUACCUUUGGUGUCUUUGUCUUUAACUUGCAGACGGGAAACAAGAACAUUUUCGUCGUCUUCUUUCACCCUCCCUGGACCCUGAGGUAAAAAAAAUAAAUGUAACUUUUAUUAUGAAAAAAUACUGCUGUAAUAUAGGCAACAGCUGUCAUUGCCUUCAUCAAGUUAAUUGAAAGAAGUAAGUAUUCACUGUUUGUCCUGUGAUAUAAGGCAGGUGGUUAUUUCCAUCUUCUAUGUUGACUAUGAUGGUGCAGGAGCUGGAGAGCUUUAUUUUGUCUCCACAGUCUUUGGCCUCCACUACAAUGGUGUAUUUUUCUGCAGUCUGAUCGGUUAAAAAGAACAACCACUUCAAUGAAUAUUUAAACAUAUUUGAUUUUGCUAUAUUAUUCAAAUUUAAGGAGAUGGAACUUCCAAGAUCAACAGAUUUGAUAUUUUGCAUUUGAAAAUUAUGCCAUUAAGCAAUGAGUCUUCUCACCUCAUGGUCCAGACACCCCUUAAAUGAUAUUGUUGCAGUUCUAGUAGCAUUGUUCUGGGUUAAGUAGAACUCCAGCUCAUGUGGUUUUGGGGUGACUGAGACUAUUUUGAAAUUAAAUAUUCCAUUGUUCUUACUGGUGUCAUCAUCACUUGCCCUAAUAGUGAUCACUUCAGUGCCUGUCCGUGUCAUAAUAAAGAAGUUGUUUUAUUUUAGGUCAUUGUCAGAUUCACUAUUGUAUUUGUUUAUGUAAAUUAUGUAAAUUGCCAUUUAGUUUUGCCAUAAUAGUAGCAGUUAAGAUUACAUGAGGAAAUUGUCAAAAAGUUACCUUGUAGUUUUGACUCUUCUAUCCAGAUCUCAUAACUUUCGAGGUCAAACUUUGGAGGGUUGUCAUUUGAGUCGAUAAUUGUUAUCUCAAUGCCCAGCUGUGUUUCUAUUACAUGACUUUCUUUAUCAAGUGCCUGAAAUGUUAGCUGUAAUGGAAAGGCAAGAAUUGUGAAAUAUGAAACACUUCACCAUGCUCCACACACAUCCUUUGUGCUGGAGAUUAUUGUAAUAAUGCUGUUUUAUUGAAUUCUUUCUAACCCUGAAAACAUGGAAUUUCUCAAAGUCCACAGCCCUGUGGACGGUAACGUCCCCUGUGUGUUCGUUGAUUUGGAGUACGCCUUUGGGUUCCUCAUCAACACCUUGACCAUGUAUUUUGAAAAGGGUCAGGUUUUUCUCUAUAGUAAUCUGUAGGGAGUCAAAACACAACAGUUUGUAAAAAAAAAUCCUGCAUCUUGUCAUAUCUAUGCAUUGUGACUCUCAGUAGGUACUUACUUUGCCCAGUGAAUAUGGGAAUGGUCCUUUAUAGCCCUCAUCAAUACUAAAGGAAUCAAUGAUCCACCUUCUUUUUUGUCGCUGUAAAAUUUCUGAAGAUGACCUGUAGACUCCCAAAAUCUGAAAAAACAUAUUAGUUACUCUUAAUUUAUGCAGGUUAAAAUAAUACAUCCGUACACCCUCAUGUUCUUCGAAUCAGCUGGAUGAAAACAAUCAUUUUGGAAUAUAUGGCACGAGUAAGCAUCAAGAAAGAAAAUCAUUUUGUGAAAUAAAUAAGGAAUAAGGAAAAUCUUGCCAGCAUCACGAAGAGACUGAUGUGUAUCGUCCCCAUAGUCUAUCCAGAUUAGUCCAUUAGCAGCAUUCAUUGAAAACACAGAAAUUCAACUACAUGACAAUGCGGGUUCUGGCUGCUGUAUAUCUGUGGGUGGGGGGAGGGUGUCAGGGCCUAUCAUAAAACUUCAUAGCAGAUGGGUGUGUACAUGUGUACACGUGUAAGAAUAUGUGUUUGUGUUACACCAAUGUGGCAAGACAACAGUUUCUCAUGUAUAUCAUACAGAAUGUAAUAAUGAUCAUUAUCUUUAUUUCACAAUGUUGCAAGUACACAAAAACCCUGUCAAAAUACAUACUGUGAAACACAUGAACGCACAUAAGUAAAAGUGAGUCCAAAUAAAGCUUUUUAUUAAAAAUGAGUGGGUUUUCAAAAAUGCUUUGAAAGCAGAAACAAAUGGUUCUAUAUGAAUGAAUAUACAGUAUGAUAUGGAUAAAUAUAAUACUGAGCUUUUAAAAAUAAGAAUUUUAAAAGCUCAAUAUUGCUAUUUACUAAUUUACAAAUUUACUAAUAUUACUACUAAUACUAUUUUAUUCAACUUCUGCUCAUCAUAUCAGCUCUUUUUUUUUUUUUUUUUUUUUAACUCAAAAUGUUGCAUAAGUCUCAGUCAAGAAACAACAUGUCAGGCCCUUGUUUUGAUCCACAUGACAUCAAGUUUGUCUUUGUGAAAAGAUGUGGGAAGAAGUUUUCAGAAUUCAAACUCUAGUUUAAUUCAUAAUAGCAGCAUGAUUAUAUUAUAAUAUCAAUGUUUAAAUGUAUUUAAUACUCUGCCUCAGUGUGCUGUAGGUACAAUGUCAUUGCUGUUUACAAACCAGACUACAGUAUGAUUAUUAUCUUUAUCAUAUUCUGCUCCAGUUUUUAUUUAAAAAAAACUGAAUCUGUUUUCAUCAAGUCAAGUUCCUUAAUCAUUACAUUUGAGCUCACUUUUACUUUGGUGAGCUCAUGUGGGUCAGGAAUCGUUUGUUGUGUCUCUGCAAGUCCGAUUGAGACAUGCUCAGAUGCAUUUAUAAAGACUUAGAUACUUUGUUUCUUCCAUGAAGAGUCAACAGUAGUAUCAUUUGGUGUCUGUAAGUAAUAGGUUUGUUUUGUUUGGCUUGCAUACAGUGGCAAGAAAAAGUAUGUGAACCUUUUUGAAUUUCAUUGUUUUCCUGAAUAAAUUUGUCAAAAUGUGA
This is a long non-coding RNA of Dicentrarchus labrax (European seabass), 10738 nucleotides long. RefSeq lists it as uncharacterized. NCBI's taxonomy places the organism in Eukaryota, Metazoa, Chordata, Actinopteri, Moronidae. The transcript has 3 exons. The record is from RefSeq and is a predicted model, not a curated record.